CAGUCGCCGCGGGAAUACGGAGGGUGCAAGCGUUAAUCGGAAUUACUGGGCGUAAAGCGUGCGUAGGCGGUUCGUUAAGUCUGUUGUGAAAGCCCCGGGCUCAACCUGGGAAUGGCAAUGGAUACUGGCGAGCUAGAGUGUGUCAGAGGAUGGUGGAAUUCCCGGUGUAGCGGUGAAAUGCGUAGAGAUCGGGAGGAACAUCAGUGGCGAAGGCGGCCAUCUGGGACAACACUGACGCUGAGGCACGAAAGCGUGGGGAGCAAACAGGAUUAGAUACCCCUGUAGUCCCUGUCUCUUAUAA
RNAcentral lists this ribosomal RNA (301 nucleotides) under uncultured bacterium. RNAcentral's name for it is "partial 16S ribosomal RNA". It matches the Rfam family "Bacterial small subunit ribosomal RNA", at positions 509 to 809 of the family's 1533-position model. The record is from RNAcentral.